UGCAGCCGGGGAGUUAGCGGUGCCCUGUACCUGCAAUCCGCUAUAGCAGGGGUGUUGUCCCGCCCAGGGUCUUUUGAUGGAGAGCCGCCCGGGAUAAGCGGCGUUGACGUUCGGGUCUUAUGCAACAGGAACUUGUGAACCGUGUCAGGUCAGGAAUGAAGCAGCACUAAGCAAAUCAUCCUGUGUGUCAUGAGGGUGCCUGAGCCGAGCUGGCUGUUUUGGUAACGUCUUUGGAUUGAGAUUCAAAGCGGGGCGCACG
RNAcentral lists this signal recognition particle RNA (259 nucleotides) under uncultured Eubacterium sp. Its description in RNAcentral is "Bacterial large signal recognition particle RNA". It matches the Rfam family "Bacterial large signal recognition particle RNA". Rfam says of the family: The signal recognition particle (SRP) is a universally conserved ribonucleoprotein involved in the co-translational targeting of proteins to membranes. Archaeal SRP consists of a 7S RNA and homologues of the eukaryotic SRP19 and SRP54 proteins. The record is from RNAcentral. Lineage: Bacteria; Bacillati; Bacillota; Clostridia; Eubacteriales; Eubacteriaceae.